GGGCCAUCUUAUAAAGGCAGGGUACAGAGGGUGUGGGGGUGCAAGGGGGAAAAGAGGAUGAACAGUAGAUGGCAUAAAUGGCGCUCGAUCGACGAUCCACCCAUCGGCAGGCAGCUAGCGAGCGGGUGGCAGUCGCCCGUCACUUAACUCAUCCUCCUGCUGCUGCUACAUGGAGUAUCAUCAUGCUCAUGCACUGCAAUGCGAU
This 205-nucleotide long non-coding RNA is filed under the name Sorghum bicolor (sorghum). RNAcentral describes it as "long non-coding RNA (SBIC_LNC003540)". Lineage: Eukaryota; Viridiplantae; Streptophyta; Magnoliopsida; Poales; Poaceae. The record is from RNAcentral.